Molecule: ribosomal RNA, 253 nt
Filed under: uncultured bacterium
Lineage: Bacteria
Description: partial 16S ribosomal RNA
Rfam family: Archaeal small subunit ribosomal RNA
Source: RNAcentral
UACCAGCACCCCGAGUGGUCGGGACGAUUAUUGGGCCUAAAGCAUCCGUAGCCGGUUUUACAAGUCCCCCGUUAAAUCCAGCUGCUUAACAGAUGGGCUGCGGAGGAUACUAUAAGACUAGGAGGCAGGAGAGGCAAGCGGUACUCAGUGGGUAGGGGUAAAAUCCGUUGAUCCAUUGAAGACCACCAGUGGCGAAGGCGGCUUGCCAGAAUGCGCUCGACGGUGAGGGAUGAAAGCUGGGGGAGCAAACCGG